AUCAGGCAUUUUCUUUGAGUUAAGGCUAUUGCAAAUCUAAAAAUAUUUAUCCAAAAUUAUAGAAUUGACUCAUAUUUAAAUGCAUAGAUAAAGCAAGAUUUGUCAAAUCGGAUUUACCUUGUAAUUAGUCUUUAAUUCUUAGAUUAGAGAUCCCUUAGAGCACUAAAAAAUAACUCCAAAAUGAUGGAAAUAUGUUGAGAUCAAUGGAGAUGCACCUAGAAUGAA
RNAcentral lists this unclassified non-coding RNA (225 nucleotides) under Hevea brasiliensis (rubber tree). Lineage: Eukaryota; Viridiplantae; Streptophyta; Magnoliopsida; Malpighiales; Euphorbiaceae. The record is from RNAcentral.